AAUGAACGCUGGCGGCGUGCCUAACACAUGCAAGUCGAGCGGAUGAAGGGAGCUUUCUCCUCGAUUCAGUGGCGGACGGGCGAGUAAUUCCUAGGAAUAUGCCUGGCCGUUGGGGAUAACGUCCGGUAACGGGACCUGAUACCGUAUACGACCUGAUGGUGAAAGUCGGGGGUCUUCGGACCACAACGUUUCAGAUGAGCCUAGGUCGGAUUAGCUAGUUGGUCUGGUAAAGGGCUACCAAGGCGACGAUCCGUAACUGGGCUGAGAGGAUGAUCCGGCACACUGGAACUGAGACACGGUCCAGACUCCUACGGGAGGCAGCAGUGGGGAAUAUUGGACAAUGGGCGAAAGCCUGAUCCAGCCAUGCCGCGUGUGUGAUGAAGGUCUUCGGAUUGUAAAGCUCUUUAAUUUGGGAGGAAGGUCAGUAAGUUAAUACCUUGCUAUUUUGACGUUACCAACAGAAUAAGCACCGGCUAACUUCGUG
RNAcentral lists this ribosomal RNA (484 nucleotides) under uncultured bacterium. RNAcentral's name for it is "partial 16S ribosomal RNA". It matches the Rfam family "Bacterial small subunit ribosomal RNA", at positions 29 to 507 of the family's 1533-position model. The record is from RNAcentral.